CCUACGGGAGGCAGCAGUGGGGAAUCUUAGACAAUGGGGGCAACCCUGAUCUAGCCAUGCCGCGUGAGUGAUGAAGGCCUUAGGGUCGUAAAGCUCUUUCGCCUGUGAUGAUAAUGACAGUAGCAGGUAAAGAAACCCCGGCUAACUCCGUGCCAGCAGCCGCGGUAAUACGGAGGGGGUUAGCGUUGUUCGGAAUUACUGGGCGUAAAGCGCACGUAGGCGGACUAUUAAGUCAGAGGUGAAAUCCCGGGGCUCAACCCCGGAACUGCCUUUGAUACUGGUAGUCUAGAGUUCGAGAGAGGUGAGUGGAAUUCCAAGUGUAGAGGUGAAAUUCGUAGAUAUUUGGAGGAACACCAGUGGCGAAGGCGGCUCACUGGCUCGAUACUGACGCUGAGGUGCGAAAGUGUGGGGAGCAAACAGGAUUAGAUACCCUGGUAGUCCACACCGUAAACGAUGAAUGCCAGUCGUCGGGUAGUAUACUAUUCGGUGACACACCUAACGGAUUAAGCAUUCCGCCUGGGGAGUACGGUCGCAAGAUUAAAACUCAAAGGAAUUGACGGA
This 561-nucleotide ribosomal RNA is filed under the name uncultured bacterium. Its description in RNAcentral is "bacterial SSU rRNA". It matches the Rfam family "Bacterial small subunit ribosomal RNA", at positions 338 to 917 of the family's 1533-position model. The record is from RNAcentral.